AGCGAACGCUGGCGGCAGGCCUAACACAUGCAAGUCGAACGGACCCUUCGGGGUUAGUGGCGGACGGGUGAGUAACACGUGGGAACGUGCCUUUAGGUUCGGAAUAGCUCCUGGAAACGGGUGGUAAUGCCGAAUGUGCCCUUCGGGGGAAAGAUUUAUCGCCUUUAGAGCGGCCCGCGUCUGAUUAGCUAGUUGGUGAGGUAACGGCUCACCAAGGCGACGAUCAGUAGCUGGUCUGAGAGGAUGACCAGCCACACUGGGACUGAGACACGGCCCAGACUCCUACGGGAGGCAGCAGUGGGGAAUCUUGCGCAAUGGGCGAAAGCCUGACGCAGCCAUACCGCGUGAAUGAUGAAGGUCUUAGGAUUGUAAAAUUCUUUCACCGGGGACGAUAAUGACGGUACCCGGAGAAGAAGCCCCGGCUAACUUCGUG
This 433-nucleotide ribosomal RNA is filed under the name uncultured bacterium. RNAcentral describes it as "partial 16S ribosomal RNA". It matches the Rfam family "Bacterial small subunit ribosomal RNA", at positions 29 to 507 of the family's 1533-position model. The record is from RNAcentral.